RNAcentral lists this unclassified non-coding RNA (709 nucleotides) under Homo sapiens (human). RNAcentral describes it as "DLG associated protein 2 (ENSG00000282318.1)". Lineage: Eukaryota; Metazoa; Chordata; Mammalia; Primates; Hominidae. The record is from RNAcentral.
CGGAGGACAAAGGCCUUCAGUUCGGCUCAUCCUUCCAGCGGCACUCCGAGCCCAGCACCCCCACCCAGUACAGCGCGGUGAGAACUGUACGGACCCAGGGGCUCUUCAGCUAUAGAGAAGACUAUCGGACCCAAGUGGACACCUCCACCCUGCCCCCUCCAGACCCCUGGCUGGAGCCCGCCAUCGACACGGUAGAGACUGGGAGGAUGUCUCCGUGCCGCAGGGAUGGCUCGUGGUUUUUGAAGCUGCUGCACGCAGAGACAAAGAGGAUGGAAGGCUGGUGCAAAGAGAUGGAGAGAGAGGCGGAGGAGAACGACCUCUCGGAGGAAAAAUUGUUACCAGCUCAUGCUUUACAAGAAAAUGCCUUGGCAUUAUGCCAAAGAGAAGUCGAUGGAGGUGACGAUGGACGCCGAAUGUUGGGGAGAUGCUGCCUUCCACGUGACCCACAGUCCCCGCAGCACGGCUGCAUGGGGCUGGUGCAAGUCAGCACAGCCGUGUUCCGAUCGUUCACACGGCGUUUGCAUUUCUCAUGGCUGGCUGGUAAAUCAGAUCCAAGGAAGAGCAGCCUGUCUUGAAGUGGAUUUGUGAACGGCACAAGGCCCCGGUGUUAAGAUGCCCGACAGACAACCUUCCAUCCUUCUUUUCAAGACAGAAACAAUGCCAAAGUGUUAUCCGAGUUACUUGCUUUUAUUAAAAGUUAUGCUUUUUU